GACGAACGCUGGCGGCGUGCUUAACACAUGCAAGUCGAACGGAAAGGCCCUGCUUUUGUGGGGUGCUCGAGUGGCGAACGGGUGAGUAACACGUGAGUAACCUGCCCUUGACUUUGGGAUAACUUCAGGAAACUGGGGCUAAUACCGGAUAGGAGCUCCUGCUGCAUGGUGGGGGUUGGAAAGUGUCGGCGGUUGGGGAUGGACUCGCGGCUUAUCAGCUUGUUGGUGGGGUAGUGGCUUACCAAGGCUUUGACGGGUAGCCGGCCUGAGGGGGUGACCGGCCACAUUGGGACUGAGAUACGGCCCAGACUCCUACGGGAGGCAGCAGUGGGGAAUAUUGCACAAUGGGCGGAAGCCUGAUGCAGCGACGCCGCGUGCGGGAUGACGGCCUUCGGGUUGUAAACCGCUUUCGCCUGUGACGAAGCGUGAGUGACGGUAAUGGGUAAAGAAGCACCGGCUAACUACGUG
RNAcentral lists this ribosomal RNA (468 nucleotides) under uncultured bacterium. Its description in RNAcentral is "partial 16S ribosomal RNA". It matches the Rfam family "Bacterial small subunit ribosomal RNA", at positions 28 to 507 of the family's 1533-position model. The record is from RNAcentral.